This is a long non-coding RNA of Acinonyx jubatus (cheetah), 6537 nucleotides long. RefSeq lists it as uncharacterized. Lineage: Eukaryota; Metazoa; Chordata; Mammalia; Carnivora; Felidae. The record is from RefSeq and is a predicted model, not a curated record. The transcript is spliced from 5 exons.
UCAUUUUACUCAGACAAAUUAAGCUAGCUUUGACAUCAUGCUAAUCAUAUCAACUUAAAAAUAACUACUAUAAGUUUGCUUCUAAAUUUUGGACUGAAAUCUGUGAUAAGAUGAAGCUCUGAACUAAGUCAAUAUUUAUUUUAUUUUGUUUUUGUAACAAACACAAAUUCCCAAAUGGCAUUAAACUGCUAAAUAGUAAAUUCCUACUGAAGUGAUAAGCAAAGGAUUUUGACUUCCGCUUGUGUGUAUAGAAGGAGUGACUGACGAAUGCAAAGUAGAAAGAGCAGUGACCGGGAAAGUGCAGGAAGCGAUAGUGAGAAGGCACACUGAGACGCCACUUCCUAUGUGACAGGCAGGGUUUAAACUCAACAUAUACGGAUUAAUUUAAUUGUCACCAUAACACCUUGCUGGAGGUAUUAUUGCUUCUUCAAUUUACAUUCGAGAAAACUGAGGCAUAGAGAUAUUAAGGACACACAGCUACUAAUUGGCGGAGGUAAAGGGUUCACACACAGAAGGAUCAUACUGCGCUGUUUUCUCUCAAUUGAAACUGAAGCAUAAAUUUGCAGCGUGACAGAGGACAGAGUCUUCUGUGAAGCAUUAGGACUGUCUUUUAGUGCCUUCCUUUGAGGGAAAAAAUCCCAAAGGGUUUCAGAAAGCUCCUCUCACCAUAGUAAGGGAGGACAACUCCAGAAGGCAGGAGUGUGGCCAGCCUGAGAAGGUGGCCGUGUGGCACGAUGGAGACUGGUGGAGAGAGGCUCCAACUGCUUUUGACCAUACCACUCAGGAUUAAGGCAUCUGGACUUACCUGUAUGUGACAGAUGUCCCUUGGGCCUGGACAACAGAAGAAGUUGCCAUGAGAUUUUGGGCCUUCUGGCUUGAGCUCAGGAUCUAGGAAUGUGGUUAGAAGAAGACAAAAAAUAUUGCCUUGAGAAGUCACUCGCUGUGCCAUUGAUUGGCCCAUGACUCAGCAGAGAUCUUUCCCCAAGAGCAUUAAUUUACAAUGAAACAAAGGAUGAGACCCCAGAGUACAGAAUGAAUCUACGUGUGUACUGGGAACUGGGAGAUGAGGGCAAACGUGAGUGCAAAGAGAGAAAGAAGAUGGAGGCCCCAUGAUUCUGCUUCCGUGGCAACAGCCAAAGCCAUAUUCUGCCACUUCUACCAUAUCUCCUCUAUUCUCUAGAUGGCGGCUGCUCAGCCAAAGGAAAGAAUUCGAUCUGAGGUUGGAGGUUGGAGGAAGAGGAAUGAGUCCACAGAUACACAUUUUGGAUGUGCUGCCUGGAGAUGAUGCAAGUGCUGUCAAGUUUCCCAACCUGGAUUUUAUUUCCUUCAUGAUGAGAAAUAGAAGUACAUAAUUUGGCAGAGAGAAAAGUGAUUAUCCUGUUGGUUAAGAGGAAAAUGUUUUAGUGAUAUGAAAAAUAAAAAAAUCACUACAAAUUCCAAGUGAUAUGUGAUGCUGCUGUAAGUGUGGGAGGUAAGAAUGUCUGGGGAAAAGGAAUUGUUUGUGGAGGAUGGGUGGGUUUGAAUGAGUGGGACUUUGUUCCAGAAAACUAAGAUGGGCAGAUGGAGUUCGGUUUUGGAGCAUGACUUAGACUGGAAUGUGCAUCCAGAAAAAUCCACCGUCUCUCUAUUUUUCAUUUUCUUGAUGCAUCCUCUAACUUUGUUUUCUGUGUCUUUUUUCCCCUGCAUUUCACUCCUGACCUUUUCUUUUAACCGUUUUUUUCAAACAAUUAUGCCUUUACAUGUCUUGAUUACAUGUCUUCUUUUUCAAAACACACACACAAAUGAAGUGCCUCCAACUUAUACACAUAGAAGUGCUAUUAAACUAUAAAAGGCCCAGGUGGAAGAACACUGCAGCCUGGACCAUCUGAAGAGCUAUAUCUUGCUCUAGGUUUUCCCAAAGUUGGCAGAUUUUAGGGUCAACUCGAUAAAUGAGUCUGUUCUGAACGGUAUAUCGAAAGUGGUGUAUGUAACUUCUCAAAUCCAAAGAGACAUACCUAGCAUGUAGUUUUCAAAUGCACCAUUUUUUUUUUUUUUUACACCUGAAGGUAACUAACUUACAUGUUCAAACUAUUAGACACUAGAAACUUUACAGAGGUAUCAGGCUCCAGGAUUUAUCUCCCUAUUCAUAAAUAUAACUUAAAAGACCUCCAUGAUAACUGGUAAUUCUGAGUCACCAAGUCCUAUUAGAAUGCUAUUACUGCUGUAGUGUUUGAAAGAUCCAUAAAUACAUAAUAGGUCCUGGGAUCUGUGUUGAUAUGCAAUUGGAGUAAAUAACUGAUUAAGCUUAAAAUAACUGCCUGGUAUACACUAAGAAUAAUCAUCUCCUGUACUAGCUGAUUUAAAGGAGAAUGUAAUAGAGAUCCUAAGUCUUGCAUCUUUAAAGUUUUGAUGAUGGUGUUAGCCAUUGAUUUCCCCAGGAGUAUAACACUGUUUUUAGCAUCAAUUUUGAAAGGUAGGGUAAAUUCCAGGAACUUUCAGUGUUCAAACUUUCUCUCACUCCAUGAAUUGGAAAAGCAACAUGGGGAUUAUGCUAGUUAUUAAAGUAUCAGUUAUAUGUAAUUAAUAUAAUUGGAUUUAUCUUCCUAUCUAAGAGAAACAAAAAAACUGAACUAAAUAAAUAACACAAUGCUUUUCAAGAUAUUGGGCAUGAGACAACAGAAAAUGGAGACUUUUGAGAUACAGAAAAUGAGGUAAACCCUAAAAUUGCCUAAGGUUACUUAUUUGAGGGAACUUCCAGGUUACAGAGCGAGAAGGAGAAACUCAGGUAGAGCUAGGCAGACUUCCUAUGUUGAAGACACAGAUCUCAUAGUCCAGGAAAAACAAGGUAGCUAGACUGUCAGUAGAUGAUAGAGUACUGGGAUAACAAAGCUGCACAGAGAGAGUUCCAGAGAUCUGUAGAGGGAUCCCUCAAGUGUUCAUCAGACUACUGAUCAGUGAAAGCAUGUGAAAAACUACCUGAGGCUUGGAAAUGAACCACCUAAAAGGAUUAGAAUACAGUAACUUGAGCUCACCCAGGGCUGGGAAUAAACUCUAUUUCCAUCACCCAGAUUGGAAACCCUCAUAAUUCAUUGAACAUUUGGUAUUCAGAAGACUCUUGCCUCUGUGCUAGGGAAUAAUUAGCUAGACUGAGCACUGCUCCAGACCUUAACAAAUCUUAAAUAUAAGGCUCAAAAGCCUCAAACCAUUUUUUAGUAUCAUAAAUGAGUCCAAGAACAAAGAUUGAGAAUAUAGGAUUACAAAAAUAUCCAGCAUCCAACAAGGUAAAAUUAACAAUGCCUGAUGUCCAAUAAAAAAUUAUCAGCCAUUCAGACAGGCAGGAGAAUGCAAUCCAUAAUGAGGAGAAAAUGAAAUCAAUUGAAACUGACCCAGAUGUUAGAAUUGGCAGACAAGAACAUUAAAGCAGUUAUUACAACUGUAUUCCAUAUGUUCAAAAAGCUACAGGAAAAAUUGAAUAUGUAAGUAGUGACAGAAAAGACAUAAAAAUAUAGCCAAACUUCUAGAGGUGAAAACGACAAUGUCUGAGAUGAAAAAUGCAUUGGAUGUUAUUAACUGCAGACUAUACAUUGCAGAACAAAUGAUUAGUGAAUUCGUAGACACAGCAAUAGAAAUUAUGCAAAAUUGGAACACACAGGGAAAAAUAUCUAAUUUAAAAAUGAACAGGGGCACCAAAAUAGCUCAGUCAGUUUAGCGUCUGACUUUUGGUUUCAGCUCAGGUCAUGAUCUCACCAUUUCAUGGGUUCCAGCCGUACAUUGGACUCUGCACUGGCAGCACAGCACUUGCUUGGUAUUCUCACUCUCUUCCUCUCUCUCUGCCCCUCCCCCACCCGUGCUGUCUCUAUCUCUCUCAAAAUAAAUAAAUUAAUUUAAAACAUAAUAAUAAAAAACAAAAUGAACAGAACACUAGUGAGCUUUGGGACAAUUUUUAAAAAAAAAAUUAUAAUUGCAAUUGGAAGCAUGAUAUUCAUGAUAUUUGGCUGAGAUGGGGAAAGGGAAGUGGCAGAAAAGAAUAUUUGAAGAAAUAAUGACAUAAAAAUUUCCAGAUUGAUUAAACUAUUCAAAAAUUUUAACAGUUCCAAAUAUCUCAACUAACUCCAAGCACAAUGCAGAAAAACAGUCCAGCUAAGUGAAACGUGAAGCAUUAGUUACUAAAUCAUCUUUGCACCAUGAGUUAAUGGUUUGAACAGUGAGUGCUUCAGAUAGUAAACUUAAUCCUAAUAGUUUCUAAGGAGCCAUUAAAAGCAUUACAAUAAGUACACAGUAAUAUUAAGAUAAGAAUGAACAUUUUGGGGACACAAUUAUACUGUAAAAAUGUCAUCAGUUUUAAUUACAAGUGGAAUAUUUGACCUAGGAUAUUUCAGAACGGGUGUUGAAUAUCUAAUGUUUAAAAUCAAGGUAACUCAUAAAUUAAACUGGACCAGUGAUAAAGAGAAAGUCUUAAAGGUACACAGAGGGAAAUACACAUUAUAUUUAGCAGAACAAAGAUAGUUUGCUGGAAAUAAUGCAAACGAUAAAACAGUUGGGAGAAGAUGGAAGCAGAGUAGGAUGACCCUAGGCUCGCCUCAUCCCACAAAUACAACUAAAUAACUAUUAAAUCAUCCUAAGUACUCCAGAAAUUGAUCUGAAGACUGGCCAAACAAACUCCACAGCUAAAGGUAGAGACAAGGCCACAUGCAAGAAGGUAAGACGUGCAGAGAUGCAGUCUGGGAGAGAAACAGAUUGUGGCCCCUACAGUGGUAAGGGAGCACUGUUCACAGAGAAGGGUGAGAGAAAAACUAUCACACAGAGGAGGUCACGGGGAAAACAAAUCCUCAUAGCAAUUGGCUUGGAAAGUGAGAGAGGGUCCACAUUGAUGAGUUCUUUCAACCAGAGGGACUUAAAGCCUAGAGUUUUUAAGGCCAGUAUGCUUGGUUCUGGGAGAGCUCAGAGGAUAUUGGGGCUGCUCUUGGAGAAAAGACUGGGCAAACAGACUGUUGACAUACAAUGUGGAAACACUAUAUGAAGAGCUUGCACAUACAAUGAGGAAAUUAGUUGAUCAUUAUAGAGCAUGUCCCACAGAAGUAGUGUUCAUAGAGAGAUCCCUCCAGGAACCCAUCCCUCAGCAUAAGCACAGAGCCACCUGCAGGAAUCAGUGCAGCACUGACACUCGCUACCUAACUUACUUACACCAACCCUCUCCCUACACUCUGCUCCAGAAGAACCACCUUUCCCAAUCAUACUUGCUUCAGUCCCAGUGCAGCAGGCCCCCUCCCCCAGAAGACUGGUCCUAAUCCCUGUCAACACUGCGUCUAGUUUUGUGAGGCCUUGGUUCCAGCGGCAGCAGCAACAGGUCUCAUUACGUAAGCAGAUCAGAGCACACCUAGUUAAAACUGACCCAUUCAGGCCAGGGACCAAACAGUCCCACAGCAAGCAAAGAGAGCUUUGCAGAUGACUGGCCUGAAGGACAACUGACCAGGACAAAACAGCAGAGCACAUGCAGCACACACUGGAGACAGUCAUGGAAGCACCAGGCCCUGGGGAACAGGGAAUAUUAUACGACAGGGCACUACCAGACCUCUUCAUAAUAAAGCCAUUACCUUCAAGAACAGGAGACAUAGCUACUUUCCUAACACACAGAAACAGGAGCAGAGACUUAAGGCAAAAUGAGUAGACAGAGGCAUUUGUCCCAAAUGAAAGAACAGAACAAGGCCACAGCCAGAGAUAUAAGCAAAACAGAUAUAAGUAACAUGCCUGAUGGACAUCUGUGAGACCAUUAACAUAGAAAUAAGGAAUAAUAUGGCAGAGAUAAAGGGAUCAAUAUGCAACGUGAGAAAUAUGCUUGAUCUAAUGAAUUAAUGACCUUAAAGAAAGAGUAAUGGAAAGUAAGUAAGCUGAACAAAAGAGAGAAAAAAGAGUUAUGCAAAAUGAGAAUAGACUUAGGGAAUUCAGUGACUCCAUAAGAUGUAAUAACAUUCAUAUUAUAGGAGGCUCACAAAAGAAAAGAGAGAGAAAGGGGGAAGAGAAUUUAUUUGAAGAGAUAAUAGCUGAAAACUUGACUAAUCUGGGGAAAGAAGCAAAUAUGCAGAUCCAGGAGGCACAGAAAACCCUCCAAAAAUCAACAAAAGCAGAUGAACAUCAAGAUACAUUAUAAUUAAAAUGGCAAAAUACAGUGAUAAAGAAAAAAUAUUAAAGGCAGCAAGACAGAAGAAGAGAGUACAUGCAAAGGAAUCCCAUAAGGUUAUCAGCAGAUUUUUCAGCAGAAACUUUCCAAGCCAGAAAGGAGAAUAGAAGAAGAAAUAGUUUCCCAGACAAAUAAAAACUAAAGGAGUUCAUGACCAUUAAACCAACCCUGAAAGAAAUAUUCAAAAAGACUCAUUGAGUAGAAAGGAAAGACCAAAAAUGACAAUAUGAAGAUAGGAAACACAAAAGCAAUAAAGAUGAAUAUUUCUAUAAAAAAUGCAUCAAGGAACUCACAAAAGAAAAGAAUGUAAAAUAUGCACCAUAUACCUAAAAUGUGGGGAGGAGAGGGGUUAAGAAUUGGCUCAAACUUAAAUGACCAUC